Cercocebus atys (sooty mangabey) is the source of this 2117-nucleotide RNA transcript. It is a transcript of the gene named glyceraldehyde-3-phosphate dehydrogenase pseudogene, with no coding region annotated. The transcript has a single exon. NCBI's taxonomy places the organism in Eukaryota, Metazoa, Chordata, Mammalia, Primates, Cercopithecidae. The record is from RefSeq and is a predicted model, not a curated record.
GACACACGGAAGGUGAAGGUUGGGGUCGAUGGAUUUGGUCGUGCUGGGUGCCUGGUCAUCAGGGCUGCUUUUAACUCUGGUAAAGUGGAUAUUGUCACCAUCAAUGACCCCUUCAUUGCCCUCAACUGCACGGUCUACAUGUUCCAGUAUGAGUCCACCCACGGCAAAUUCCAUGGCACCAUCAAGGCUGAGAACGGGAAGCUUGUCAUCAAUAGAAAUCCCAUCACCAUCUUCCAGGAGCGAGGUCCCUCCAAAAUCAAGUGGGGCGAUGCUGGCACUGAGUACAUCGUGGAGUCCACUGCCAUCUUCACCACCAUAGAGAAGGCCGGGGCUCACAUGCAGUGGGGAGCCAAAAGGGGCAUCAUCUCUGCCUCCUCUGCUGACGCCCCCAUGUUCGUGAUGGGCGUGAACCAUGAGAAAUAUGACAAUAGCCUCAAGAUUGUCAGCAAUGCCUCCUGCACCACCAGCUGCUUAGCGCCCCAAGUUCAUCCGUGACAACUUUGGUAUCGUGGAAGGACUCACGACCACAGUCCACGCCAUCACUGCCACCCAGAAGACUGUGGAUGGCCCCUCCGGGAAACUGUGGCGUGAUGGCCACAGGGCUCUCCAGAAUGUCAUCCCUGCCUCUACUGGUGCUGCCAAGGCUGUGGGCAAGGCUGAACUGAACGGGAAGCUCACUGGCAUGGCCUUCUGUGUCCCCACUGCCAACAUGUCAGUGGUGGACCUGACCUGCCGUCUGGAAAAACCGCCAAAUAUGAUGACAUCAAGAAGGUGGUGAAGCAGGCGUCGGAGGGCCCCCUCAAGGGCAUCCUGGGCUACACUGAGCACCAGGUGGUCUCCUCCGACUUCAACAGCGACACCCACUCUUUCACCUUCAAUGCUGGGGCUGGCACAGACCUCAGCAAUCACUUUGUCAAGCUCAUUUCCUGGUAUGACAACGAAUUUGGCUACAGCAACAGGGUGGUGGACCUCAUGGCCCACAUGACCUCCAAGGAGUAAGACCCCUGGACCACCAGCCCCAGCGAGAGUACAAGAGGAAGAGAGAGGCCCUCACUGCUGGGAGUCCCUGCCACACUCAGUCCCCCACCACACUGAAUCUCCCCUCCUCACAGUUUCCAUGCAGACCCCUUGAAGAGGGAGGGGCCUGAGGAGCCUCACCUUGUCGUCUACCAUCAGUAAAGUCCCUGUGCUCAGCCAAAAAUAAAAAAUAAAAUACACAUCAUGGUGAAAAGGAAUUUGAAGAGAAAAAAAUGAAAACACCAUUGGCAUAUUUAGGAGUAAAGGGCUGCAACUUUCACACAGUUCAGAAAAGAAAACAUUUGAGAGAGAGAGAAAGCAAAUAUGGUAAAAGGUUAACAACUGGAAGAUCUGAGUGUAGGGUGUAUAGAAAUUAUUUGCACGACUGCAACUCUUUUUCUUUUCUUUUGUUUUUUAGAGACCAGAGUCUCACUAGGUUGUGUAGGCUGGUCUCAUACCCCUGGGCUGAAGCAAUGCUCCCACCUCAGCCUCCACAGUAGCUGGGACUGCAGGCAUACACAUUGCACUGGGCGCAACUUUUCUUAAAGACAAAAAUUAUGUCAAAAUGAAAUGCUUUUUAGGUGAAGAGAAUAUCUGUCUUACCUACUUCAUAGAAUUUUGGGGAAGAUCAAAUAAAAUCUUGUGAGUGAAAGAGCUUUGAAAACUAAGUUUCCCUACAAAUGUAAAACUUAAUUACUACUGAAAAGAGCUUUAUACUUUAACAAAUGUAAAACAAUUAUUUUUACUGCAUUUUUUGUAGCUUCCACAGAGAAAAAAUCUAGUUCUGUAUCCAUUUACUCAGUUACUACUCUUUUAAGAGAAGGGUUGGCUGCUCGGUUUCGUUGCUUUAGGAGGGUCAGUGAGCAACAGUAACUUUAUUAUCUCAUUUAUUGCAGAAAUCUACAGCCUAAAAUAUUGUCUCUUGUUCUACAUUUACUGCCUGAGUCUAAAUGACCUUCAAGUUCCUUCCCAACACUGGAAUUUCAUGAUUUAAUGAAAGUAACACAGAAAAGCCACUGGCAGGAGGGCUCAUGCAUUUUUUCUUUUUUUUUUUCUUUUGAGACAAUUGCUGUGUCAUCCAGGCUGGAGUGCAGUGACGC